This 253-nucleotide ribosomal RNA is filed under the name uncultured bacterium. Its description in RNAcentral is "partial 16S ribosomal RNA". It matches the Rfam family "Bacterial small subunit ribosomal RNA", at positions 524 to 776 of the family's 1533-position model. The record is from RNAcentral.
UACGGGGGGGGCAAGCGUUGUUCGGAAUUACUGGGCGUAAAGGGCGCGUAGGCGGCCUGCUAAGUCGGACGUGAAAUCCCUCGGCUCAACCGGGGAACUGCGUCCGAUACUGGUGGGCUCGAAUCCGGGAGAGGGAUGUGGAAUUCCAGGUGUAGCGGUGAAAUGCGUAGAUAUCACUUGGAACGCCAAUGGUGAAGACAGCUCGCUGGGGGUGUCCUGACGCUGAGGCGCGAAAGCCAGGGGAGCGAACGGG